Molecule: ribosomal RNA, 1371 nt
Filed under: uncultured bacterium
Lineage: Bacteria
Description: bacterial SSU rRNA
Rfam family: Bacterial small subunit ribosomal RNA
Source: RNAcentral
AUGAACGCUGGCGACGUGGAUAAGGCACGCAAGUCAAACGGUCUCAUGUAGCAAUAUGUGAGAUAGUGGCAAACGAGGUAGUAACACGUAGGUACUUCCCCCAAAGUCUAGAAUAAUCCGGAGAAAUCCGGACUAAUACUAGAUAGUCUCUUCGGAGUAAAGAUUUAUCGCUUUGGGAAAGGCCUGCGGGAUAUCAGCUAGUUGGUAGGGUAAAAGCCUACCAAGGCUAUGACGUCUAGGGGAGGUGAGAGCCUGACCCCCACCGAUGGAACUGAGAUACGGUCCAUACACCUACGGGUGGCCGCAGUCGAGAAUCUUCCGCAAUGGGCGCAAGCCUGACGGAGCGACGUCGCGUGGUUGAUGAAGUCCUUAGGGACGUAAAAACCUUUUAUGAGGGAGAAAGUUAUUGAUAGUACCUCAUGAAUAAGGGGUUGCUAAACUCGUGCCAGCAGCAGCGGUAAUACGAGUGCCCCAAGCGUUAUCCGGAAUUAUUGGGCGUAAAGGGUGUGUAGGUGGUUUUGUUAGUCUCCUGUUAAAUUCCCGGGCUCAACCUGGGGCAUGCAGGGGAAACGGCAAAACUAGAGGAUGCGAGGGGUGAAUGGAACUCAUGGUGUAGGGGUGAAAUCCGUUGAUAUCAUGGGGAACACCAAAAGCGAAGGCAAUUCACUGGCGCAUUCCUGACACUGAAACACGAAAGCGUGGGUAGCGAAUGGGAUUAGAUACCCCAGUAGUCCACGCCCUAAACGAUGUUCAUUAGGUUUUCGGAGUAUCGACCCUCUGAGAGCCGUAGCUAACGCGUUAAAUGAACCGCCUGGGUAGUACGACCGCAAGGUUAAAACUCAAAGGAAUAGACGGGGACUCGCACAAGCGGAGGAUUAUGUGGUUUAAUUCGAUGGUAAACGAAGAACCUUACCAGGGUUUGAAACCUAGCUGAAUACUAGAGGAAACUUUAGUAGCCGCAAGGCAGUUAGGCAGGUGAUGCAUGGCCGUCGUCAGUUCGUGGUUUGAAUUGUUCCCUUAAGUGGGGUAACGAACGCAACCCUCGUUGCCUGUUACAAGUGUCAGGCGAGACUGCCCAGAUCUAAGUACGUUUUUUUGAAAAGCAGAAAAAUGUGUUUGGAUCUGGGAGGAAGGCGGGGAUGACGCCAGGUCAGCAUGUCCCUUUGAUAUCCUGGGCUACACACAUAAUACAAUGGGUAAUACAAUGAGACGCAAUAUCGCAAGAUGGAGCCAACCUUCAAAAUUAUCCUAAGUUCGGAUUGGGGUCUGCAACUCGACCCCAUGAAGCUGGAUUCGCUAGUAAUCACAGGUCAGCUAUACUGUGGUGAAUACGUUCUCGAGUCUUGUACUCACCGCCCGUCCCGUCAAGGG